UAUGCAGAAUGUUUACAGACAGGUCUGGAUUUCAUUGCUUCAUACGUGAACAGCUGCAUCAAACCCCACCAGAUAUACACAGACUGUGCGUCGCUCUGAUAAUGGGACGGUUGCAUCCGUCGGAAGGUUCUGCUCCUGUUCGACAUGGAUCGGUAGAUUGGGCACAAUGUCUUAUUGGAAGACAGACAGAAAGACGGCGUCCUCUGCUCUUCUCAUCUCCCCCUCCACCUCCUCGUUCUCCUCAUCGUGUGUCUGUGAGGCUAUCACUAUGGCAACCUCACCGAAGGCAGAAGGGAAGUGUGUGUGUGUGUGUGUUUGGGGGGUUGGCGUAGUUCAGACAAAUAAGCAUUGCAGGGCUCAUUUAUUCAUUUUUGGUUAGCUGAAAAUGUGAACAUGAAAGGUCAAAUAUGCUUGUGUUUGCAUAUUUGUUUUGCACUUUUGUUUACAGCAGGCGUUCAAUAUGGAAGGUAUGAAAUAAAAGGUUUGUUUUGGUGAAUGAUGAAACGGAACAAAACAUAUGGCACUGAAAUUGCUCCUUGUUUCUGUUAAGAGAAAGCCUUGAAAUAUUGCUAUUAAUUUUUUCCGCAUUGCUCUUUGUUUUAUGAAGAAUAUGCCACUUGCUUUUGUGCAAUAAAUGUAGUUUUUUUUAUUAUU
Long non-coding RNA from Rhinichthys klamathensis goyatoka, 654 nucleotides. RefSeq lists it as uncharacterized. Lineage: Eukaryota; Metazoa; Chordata; Actinopteri; Cypriniformes; Leuciscidae. The transcript is spliced from 2 exons. The record is from RefSeq and is a predicted model, not a curated record.